GCCCUAAUCCGGAGUUUAACCGUCUCAUAAAUGAUGGUGAAUGUCACGAGUCAGCCAUUAAAAUUAAAAAAAGACCAGAACACAUCCGCCCUCUCAUGAGCAACUCUGGUGAAAGCUGCCCUCCCGCCCCCUUCUGAAAGGAAAGUGCAACCAGACAGUUCAAUAUCACUAAAACUAAACCAACAAACGAACGAACUCUGCCAUGAUCACGGCGGUGAAGUUCCUAUUCUAAACGGAAAAACUGGUACUGAGCAGUUGAGGAAUCUUCACCUGCCCAAUAUAUAUGGAUGAACAGCUAGAGAGUGAGUCACUGCUUUAUGCUCACUCUUUCUGUAAGAAAAGCCCCUUUACAGGCAAAACUGUCAGAAUAUCAUCCGCAAUCAUUUCCGAUGUGUGAUCACGUUUUGCCGCUUGGGGCCGAUGUGGUGCUAGAUAUAUAAUGCAAGUAACAGCAUGUUUCUGUCCCCUACCCUGACACCAACCUGCCCCCCUUUGCCUUUCAGGCGCUCCCAUUUCUGACAGUAGCAUUGACAAGGCUUUACAGAGCAGAGAGAAUCACUCCUGUGAAGUUAAAUUCGUGCUGUUCACACAGCGCCUGCUCAGAAAAACAGCAUUAAUUGUUCAGACACCUUUUAUAGGAUAGAAUUCUUGCCUUCCCUAAACGGGAGCUAGUUGACACGGACGGAGACAAAUUAAUUCUUGCGGGAUUAAGAGAUUAGAGGUGUUUAGACAAAGAAUCAUUAACCCAAGGAUGCCUCCAGCUUGGCUGUCCGCUGUUAUAGUCACAGCUAUUCUAAAAGGCACCUAUGGAGCAGACUCAGUGACCCAAACUGAAGGCAGCGUUAUUGUCUCCCAAGGGGAACCUGUGCGUCUGAAUUGUACCUAUCAAUUUUCUGUCACUCCGUAUCCCCUCUGGUACGUACAGUUCCCCAGCCAGGCCCUCACACUAUUCGUGAGGGACGUGGGACGGGAGGACUCGGAUGAAGGGAUCAGAAAAGGGUUCAAUGCCACCCACGAUAAAAAGAACAAAUCCUUCCACCUGUGGAAACCGGCCAGCGACCUGAGCGACUCCGGGACCUAUUACUGCGCCGCGAGCGACACAGUGACACGGACCGGCAGGGGAGCUGAGCACAAACCGCGCCGGGUCUGUACGGAGCAGAGGGGAAGCGAGCACCGGGAGGGAAAGGGAGGAAUGGUACAAACACAGAACUUGGAUCUCUGUUCACCGUCUAGCUCUGGGCUUCACCGGCUUGAUCCAAUCCAGGGCUUCAUCUGUUGGAGACACUACACGGAAUAG
Molecule: non-coding RNA, 1297 nt
Organism: Mauremys reevesii (Reeves's turtle)
Lineage: Eukaryota; Metazoa; Chordata; Testudines; Geoemydidae
Source: the annotation of a RefSeq genome assembly